RNAcentral lists this transfer RNA (85 nucleotides) under Acidithiobacillus sp. GGI-221. RNAcentral's name for it is "tRNA-Tyr". It matches the Rfam family "tRNA". Rfam says of the family: Transfer RNA (tRNA) molecules are approximately 80 nucleotides in length. Their secondary structure includes four short double-helical elements and three loops (D, anti-codon, and T loops). The record is from RNAcentral. Lineage: Bacteria; Pseudomonadati; Pseudomonadota; Acidithiobacillia; Acidithiobacillales; Acidithiobacillaceae.
GGAGAGUGAGGGAUGCGGCAAACCCAUCCGGCUGUAAACCGGACGCCCCAGGCAACGCGCGGUUCGAUUCCGUGGCUCUCCACCA